GUCUAAUAGCUCAGUUGGUAGAGCAUGAGACUUUUGAUCUCAGGGUCGUGAGUUCGAGCCCCACAUUGGACA
Non-coding RNA from Podarcis lilfordi (Lilford's wall lizard), 72 nucleotides. Lineage: Eukaryota; Metazoa; Chordata; Lepidosauria; Squamata; Lacertidae. The record is from the annotation of a GenBank genome assembly.